CAAGGAUGCUAGUACGGCGAGUGAGCGGCAAAAGCUCAAAUUUGAAAUCUAACACUUUCAGUGUUCGAGUUGUAAUUUGAAGAAAGUUUCUCUGAGUAGUCCUUUAUCUAUGUUCCUUGGAACAGGACGUCAUAGAGGGUGAGAAUCCCGUAUGAUUUUGGAUACUAUUCUUUGUGAGAUUCUUUCGAAGAGUCGAGUUGUUUGGGAAUGCAGCUCUAAGUGGGUGGUAAAUUCCAUCUAAAGCUAAAUAUUGGCGAGAGACCGAUAGCGAACAAGUACAGUGAUGGAAAGAUGAAAAGAACUCUGAAGAGAGAGUGAAAAAGUACGUGAAAUUGCUGAAAGGGAAGGGCUUUAGGUCAGACUUGGUGUUUAAUGAUUAUCUUCUCUUUUUGAGUUGUGCACUCGUUUUUCACUGGGCCAAUAUCAGUUUUUGUGGUAGAGCACCUAUUGGAAUGUAGCUUUUCUUCGGAUGAGUGUUAUAGCCUUUAGACGAUCUAUUUACGGAGACUGAGGACUGCGCGUUAUGCUAGGAUAUUGGCGUAAUGACCUUAAGCCGCCCGCUGAAAAACCGGGGACAA
This 578-nucleotide ribosomal RNA is filed under the name Saccharomycopsis crataegensis. RNAcentral's name for it is "eukaryotic LSU rRNA". It matches the Rfam family "Eukaryotic large subunit ribosomal RNA", at positions 69 to 664 of the family's 3401-position model. The record is from RNAcentral. Lineage: Eukaryota; Fungi; Ascomycota; Saccharomycetes; Ascoideales; Saccharomycopsidaceae.